UCAAACCUAUUUACAACGGCGGCAUUUCUCCUUAUUAGAGGAACCUGUUCAAUAAUCGAUAAUCCACGUUAAAUUUCACUUUAAUUAAUAAUUUAUAUACCGCCAUCUAAAAAAUUAAUUUUAAGAUAAUAUUUUUAAUAAUAAAUAAAAAGUUAGGUCAAGGUGUAGUCUAUAUUUUAGAAAACAAUGGGUUACAUUAAAUAAUAUUUAAGAAUAUUCCUAUAAAAAUAAUUAUUGAAAAAGGAUUUAAAAGUAAUAGCAAAAUAAUAUUUUGCUAUG
This 279-nucleotide ribosomal RNA is filed under the name Lycosa bicolor. Its description in RNAcentral is "partial 12S ribosomal RNA". Lineage: Eukaryota; Metazoa; Arthropoda; Arachnida; Araneae; Lycosidae. The record is from RNAcentral.